AGCCCGGUAGUGUAGCGGUCAAUCACGAGAGGCUCUGGACCUCUUUACCACGGUUCGAAUCCGUGCCGGGCUA
RNAcentral lists this transfer RNA (73 nucleotides) under Methanosarcinales archaeon. RNAcentral describes it as "tRNA-Gln". It matches the Rfam family "tRNA". From Rfam's summary of the family: Transfer RNA (tRNA) molecules are approximately 80 nucleotides in length. Their secondary structure includes four short double-helical elements and three loops (D, anti-codon, and T loops). Further hydrogen bonds mediate the characteristic L-shaped molecular structure. tRNAs have two regions of fundamental functional importance: the anti-codon, which is responsible for specific mRNA codon recognition, and the 3' end, to which the tRNAs corresponding amino acid is attached (by aminoacyl-tRNA synthetases). tRNAs cope with the degeneracy of the genetic code in two manners: having more than one tRNA (with a specific anti-codon) for a particular amino acid; and 'wobble' base-pairing, i.e. permitting non-standard base-pairing at the 3rd anti-codon position. The record is from RNAcentral. Lineage: Archaea; Methanobacteriati; Methanobacteriota; Methanomicrobia; Methanosarcinales.